Molecule: ribosomal RNA, 253 nt
Filed under: uncultured bacterium
Lineage: Bacteria
Description: partial 16S ribosomal RNA
Rfam family: Bacterial small subunit ribosomal RNA
Source: RNAcentral
UACAGAGGGUGCGAGCGUUGUUCGGAAUUAUUGGGCGUAAAGGGCGCGUAGGCGGUGCGGUAAGUCACCUGUGAAAUCUCCCGGCUCAACUGGGAGCGUGCAGGCGAAACUGCCGUGCUGGAGGGUGGGAGAGGUGCGUGGAAUUCCCGGUGUAGCGGUGAAAUGCGUAGAUAUCAGGAGGAACACCUGCGGUGUAGACAGCUUUCUGGACCAUCACUGACGCUGAGACACGAAAGCGUGGGUAGCAAACAGG